Molecule: ribosomal RNA, 504 nt
Filed under: uncultured bacterium
Lineage: Bacteria
Description: partial 16S ribosomal RNA
Rfam family: Bacterial small subunit ribosomal RNA
Source: RNAcentral
AUUGAACGCUGGCGGCAGGCCUAACACAUGCAAGUCGAACGGUAGCACAGAGAGCUUGCUCUCGGGUGACGAGUGGCGGACGGGUGAGUAAUGUCUGGGAAACUGCCCGAUGGAGGGGGAUAACUACUGGAAACGGUAGCUAAUACCGCAUAACGUCGCAAGAACAAAGUGGGGGACCUUCGGGCCUCACACCAUCGGAUGUGCCCAGAUGGGAUUCGCUAGUAGGUGGGGUAAGGGCUCACCUAGGCGACGAUCCCUAGCUGGUCUGAGAGGAUGACCAGCCAAACUGGAACUGAGACACGGUCCAGACUCCUACGGGAGGCAGCAGUGGGGAAUAUUGCACAAUGGGCGCAAGCCUGAUGCAGCCAUGCCGCGUGUAUGAAGAAGGCCUUCGGGUUGUAAAGUACUUUCAGCGGGGAGGAAGGCGGUGAAGUUAAUAGCUUCACCGAUUGACGUUACCCGCAGAAGAAGCACCGGCUAACUCCGUGCCAGCCGCCGCCGUAA